UUGGGCUGAGGCCUCUGUCCCUCCGGCUUCUUUAUGAAGUUCUUGAGGUACCCCCUCUUUAUUAGCCUCUCGAUUUCAGUGAUCAACUGAAAGCAAUUAUUGGUGUCAUGGCCAUGCGUGCGAUGGUACUGACAAUAUUUGUCAGGGUUUCGUUGGUCUGCUUCAGUUCUUAGGGGUCUGGGCCAUUGUAGGAACUCCUUGUCCUGUAUGGCUAUGAGCACUUCGGCUCUUGAAGCAUUGAGCGGGGUCAGCUUCUCUGGGA
RNAcentral lists this long non-coding RNA (262 nucleotides) under Manihot esculenta (cassava). Its description in RNAcentral is "long non-coding RNA (MESC_LNC003687)". The record is from RNAcentral. Lineage: Eukaryota; Viridiplantae; Streptophyta; Magnoliopsida; Malpighiales; Euphorbiaceae.